Homo sapiens (human) is the source of this 4504-nucleotide long non-coding RNA. RefSeq lists it as uncharacterized. The record is from RefSeq and is a predicted model, not a curated record. The transcript is spliced from 2 exons. Lineage: Eukaryota; Metazoa; Chordata; Mammalia; Primates; Hominidae.
AUCCAAAGAAAAACACAACCUCUCAUGGUUUCUUCUGUUGGUUGUCAUUGGAUGAGUCCAUCUCUAAUGGUUGUCUCCAUGUUGACCAAGGUGCAGCAAGCUUCUCAACCCAACUGUAGGAAGCCACCCUCACUUAUGUGGUAAAGAGGCCUAAUGCAUUGGCUGUCUAGGCUCAUGGCAAGUUUUGGUGGAGCGCCUUCUCAUGAGCAACACACAUAAGUGUGCUGUCUACCAAACUUUUCUAUUAGAACCUAAGCAAGCCACUGAACACAGGAUCAGUAGAUGAAUGUAUGCAAUACUAAUUCCUACGAAGACCUUGGUCAUCUCGUGUGUUUGAUUCAGUGGCCCUGUGGCAUUAAGUGUUAGCACCUGAUCCAGACUGAAUUCCUUUAUAAUACUCUUGUCAUUAGGAUAUACUUUGCAUAACUACUUUCCUGUCCUUUCUGUCUUUUCACUUAUUUUGUGAUCUUGAUCUCCAGAAGAAAGAUAGGAUUCAUAGUUGAACCAGUUAAGAUCAUUGCUUGAGUGGUUUAUUUUAAACCAUAAAGCUACAGUUGAGAAGUAUGUAGCUGUAGCCUUUUGAUAAGAAUGCAUUAAAUAUAGCAUCACACAUGAGUACCACAAAUGAGGUUAGUAGACUAGCUAUGCAGUGGCCCACAUUCAGUGUAAUGUUUUAGUGUCAUUUAGUGCCUCUUAAGUUGCUGUUAUCUGUUGGUCAGUUGCUGUAGUAGGAAAUAAUACUUUUUUAACAAAUGACCCUACCUUUGCUAGUGCUAGGAUAUUUGUAAAAGCCUAAGGGCUUCUUAAAUAUAACAUUUUGGUCUAUUUGGUCUAACCUUAGAAAGAUUAGUAGUUUAUAAUAAAAUAUGUUUGUUCCUAUCAAAACUAGAAUGAACUGGGUUUUCUCCCAAGGACUAAUGAUUCCACUUUGGAUAGAUGAAUUGAUAUUUUCAGUGCAUUCAAAAAUUGUUACUCCCGAGAAAAGCGCCCAUUACCACAGGAAAAUGAACUCUUUGGAACUAGCCCGGUAAAUAUCUCCUUUCGUCAUUGUUUUUGAGGCUAAAAUUGAUGGGUGCAUUGUUUAUGCAUUUUAACUGGCCAUCUUAUUUAUAUUUCAGAUUUGAUAAUCUAGGCUGCUAAGUGAUCUCAUCCAUUUUUUAAAAAAACUAGUAGAGUCCAGUGUUUUCUCAGCUAGUCCCCAAGGAAGUUUCUGCUGCAGCGUGGUCCUUUCUUCAAGGUGUGUGGGAUUCAAGGUGGAAAAGAGUAUAGCUGGUAAUGGUGCCUUGGUCAUUCUGCUCAGGGACCUGCCUGUUCCUGCCUUCCUCUCUUCCCUUCCACAGACUAUCUCAGAGAUUUAACUGUGAACUUAUCCUUGCCUAACUCUUGAGGAUUUCCAAGCUUUGGUUGGGGGAUGGAACAGACAGGAAAACGGUUGUUCCUUGGUUUAAAUUUUGUCAUUGAUUUACUAAUAACUUUUAGCACUUGUUUGGAUCUUCUUAGAUCUGGAUGCUUACUUUCUUUUUUAGUGCCUUACAUACAAUGCUAAAAACUAGGGAUACUGAAAGGGAAAUGGGUUGCAGCAUUCUUGAAUAUAUUCAAAAGGCAUUUUUCACUUACAUUUCUAUCAAAAAGUGAUGUGACUUGUAGCAGUUUUUAUUUUAUUUAUUUAUUUUUUUAAGGAAGGGGGCAAUAAAGAACUGGAGUGCUGAAACAUCUCACACAGCAAACGUUCUGCUAGUGGGUACUAUGAAUCUUUGAUAUCUGAAAGCCCACAUAUAUUUGGUUUGAAGCCAUUCUAGAGGUUUUUAAUUGAUUGACUGCUCUACCACCUAUGGAGUUUGUCUCAUGUACUUAAAGUACACCUCUGUGCACCAUCUUACUUCAGGUUUGUCUUGUGUCACUGACUACAUUCGUAAGCCCCUUGAGGGUAAGGAUUGUCUACUGUAGUAAUCCUUUUCUCCUCAGCGCCUAGCACAGUGCUUUGGCAUCUUUGCUGCUUGGUUAAUUGAUCUAGUCAGGUCCUUCUUUGUUUUGGCUUAAACAACAGAAAAUUAUUUCUCACAGUUCUGGAGGCUAGAAAUCCAAUAUCAAGGUACAGGUUUGGUUUCUUUUGAGGCCCCUCUGCUUGGCUUGUGGAUGGCCGUCCUCCUGUGUUAUCACGUGAUUCGGGUCUUUGUUUUUUUAACCAAGUUUUUCUAGUUAACUGCAUUGAGUGUUUUCAUCAGCUGUUACAGGUGAAAUACAAUUUGGUAUGAAAAAGGAAAGAGUUCCAGGUGUAUGUUUUAGUAUGCAAAUGCUUUUCUAUUUUUAUAUUUACAUGUCAAUGACUUGCUGUCUGAAUUCCUUAUUAUAUUUGAAAUUUAACUGUUGUAUGACCUAAGUAAGACUGUUUAGAGAUUUGAAAACCAAACUACCGGGAAUUGCACUAAUAUUCUGAAACCCAAGGUAAAGAUAUUAGUGAGGUUUUUUACUUUUUAACUGAAACAGAAUGUAUCUUUUUAAUUUAGGAAGCACCUUAUGAAUUGGAAACAACUUUUUUCUAAAAUGAUUAUAAUGGAACAUAAAAAUGUUCUCCCAGUGAUGCAUCCUUUGAUUGAAACCGCCAUGUAACUAACUACCGGGGUAUUAUAAGAUUCACUUAAUUCAAACAUAUAUUCAUUUAAUGCACUUUGCAAGUAUUCUUCUGGAAUAGCAUAUGACAAGAAACUGUAUUUGCCCACAUUUCCUUGGGGACAUACACCCAGGGGUACUAACUGAUGGCUAAAAAAGUGGCAUGCAAUUUUGAGAGAGAUUGUUGUUUCUCCAUGUAGACAAGGAGAGAUAUUUGUAGAAGUGAUGCAGCAUUUUACCAGAUUUAUCACUGAACAAUUUAGUCUAGCUGACUUGAUUUAUCUUUCUGUUGAAUUUAACUAGUGGAAUAACUUAUCAGUAUUGGACAGUUGUGUAAAAGUAGUGAAUUACUCAUUAGCUUGCUGGUAAGGAUGGUGCUGUGACAGUUCAAUUAAGGUUUCAUUAACAACUGUCUGCUGUAUUUUAUCUCAAAGUAAGAGUUCCAGUUUACCUGGUAAUGUGAUUGUGGGAUAACCUGAGAUAACAUUUGUUGCCACUGAUAGAAUGUUGUUUAUGGGUUAUCAAGAUAUCAUAUACAAUUUGACCUUCUUUUUGAGACAUUACAGCCUCCAAACACCCACAUGGACAUUUUCAUAAUGCAAAAACAAAACACAAAGCAACCCACAAAUAGUAACUUCAGUCAUUUGGUGAGUAAUAUAAAUCUACCUUUUUGUCUGCAGUUCACAUUUGCCAGAGGAAAAUGCUGUGGUUAAAGAUGUAACAACUUUGGGACAAAGAGUUUCAGGGGCUCAUAAUUUUGAGAGAUGGAGGAAGUUGACCGCAUGAGAGUGGUUUGAGGAUCGCUGUGCCUAGACCGUUUUUGACAUUGGCAACUUAACAUAUCAGAGAUGGAAUUAAUGGCACAUAUUGCCACCUUGGUAAAAGUUGAGAAUCUGUAGUACUGAGAAGUUUCUCCACUAUCAGCCGAGAUUAACAGCCACAGCUGGAUUCUUUGGGGGCUCUGCUUUGUGAAAAGAGCUUUGAAGAAGCAGAGCCUGCACCAUAAAAAGGAAACGGUUGCUCUUCUAGACAUAACAAAGCAUCCGUAUGAAACUAGAAAUGUGGAAAUCUGUAUUGUUAAUUUUAACUACAAACGAACUUACUUUUGGAAAUUACAGGUUCAUGAUCAUAAAGUAGAUAAAGAGUAGAGAAUAAAAGUAACAAUCUGAUGAUUCUGCACCCACUUCUUGGUGGUUGAAACUCCAUAGCCUAUAACGUUGCAAGUCAUUUUGUACUUAGACUCCUGAAAAGAUUAUCCAAAUUAUGUUCAAAAAACCACAGCACAAAAAAUAAACUUGUUUUAUUCUUGGGGAGAAAUUUCAUGUUAUACUGUCCAAUAUUAAUUUAGAAAAAAAGACAGUUUUUUUUUUUAAGGCAUUUCAGAAACAUUGCCCUUUCAAGCAAGUUAGAACAAUAUCCCUCAACAUUAAAUACCAUCUUUUUAGCCAUCAGUACCACUGGGCAUGUGUCAUAAAAGAGAAAUGGGGGCAGAUAUAGCUCCCUUUCAUAUGCUAUACCAGAACAAAAAUUUGUAAAAUGCAUAAGUGCAUUAACUGAAUAUGUUUGAAUUUAAAUUCUGGGUUUUUACCUUCAAAGCACAGGCAGCUGUAGAUACAAAAAGUCCUCUAAUGGAGUACUGGAAUGUUUCAUUGUCUUCACAACUUGGAGUGUCAGAGUUUUCUCUGCCUUCUAUAUUGUAAAACUGAGUGACUAUUCUUGGUCGUUUUUAUUAGAUUUAUUGAUGUCCAAGCAAUACAAGAAUUAACUGUUCAUAUACUGUAUGUUUCCUUAACAUGCUUAUUUGGUUUCUUUGAUGGAGAUUGUCAAGGCCAAAGAAACUUUUUCAUUUGUCAUCCAACCAAUAAAUGGACAGAAGCUGUUAGAAGCUCUUUAA